AUGUGGUUUAAUCGAUGAUACGCGAGGAACCUUACCUGGGCUCAAAUGUAUGUUGACGUAUUCUGAAAGGGAUACUUCUUCGGACAAUAUACAAGGUGCUGCAUGGUUGUCGUCAGCUCGUGCCGUGAGGUGUCGGGUUAAGUCCCAUAACGAGCGCAACCCCUAUCAUUAGUUGCCAUCAGGUUAAGCUGGGGACUCUAAAGGAACUGCCUACGCAAGUAGUGAGGAAGGCGGGGAUGACGUCAAAUCAGCACGGCCCUUACGUCCAGGGCUACACACGUGCUACAAUGGCCGAUACAGAGGGCAGCUACCUGGUGACAGGAUGCAAAUCUCCAAAGUCGGUCUCAGUUCGGAUCGGAGUCUGCAACCCGACUCCGUGAAGUUGGAUUCGCUAGUAAUCGCGCAUCAGCCAUGGCGCGGUGAAUACGUUCCCGGGCCUU
RNAcentral lists this ribosomal RNA (440 nucleotides) under uncultured Sphingobacteriales bacterium. RNAcentral describes it as "bacterial SSU rRNA". It matches the Rfam family "Bacterial small subunit ribosomal RNA", at positions 939 to 1382 of the family's 1533-position model. The record is from RNAcentral. Lineage: Bacteria; Pseudomonadati; Bacteroidota; Sphingobacteriia; Sphingobacteriales.